RNAcentral lists this ribosomal RNA (2215 nucleotides) under Escherichia coli. RNAcentral's name for it is "partial 23S ribosomal RNA". It matches the Rfam family "Bacterial large subunit ribosomal RNA", at positions 598 to 2797 of the family's 2925-position model. The record is from RNAcentral. Lineage: Bacteria; Pseudomonadati; Pseudomonadota; Gammaproteobacteria; Enterobacterales; Enterobacteriaceae.
UGCGUACCUUUUGUAUAAUGGGUCAGCGACUUAUAUUCUGUAGCAAGGUUAACCGAAUAGGGGAGCCGAAGGGAAACCGAGUCUUAACUGGGCGUUAAGUUGCAGGGUAUAGACCCGAAACCCGGUGAUCUAGCCAUGGGCAGGUUGAAGGUUGGGUAACACUAACUGGAGGACCGAACCGACUAAUGUUGAAAAAUUAGCGGAUGACUUGUGGCUGGGGGUGAAAGGCCAAUCAAACCGGGAGAUAGCUGGUUCUCCCCGAAAGCUAUUUAGGUAGCGCCUCGUGAAUUCAUCUCCGGGGGUAGAGCACUGUUUCGGCAAGGGGGUCAUCCCGACUUACCAACCCGAUGCAAACUGCGAAUACCGGAGAAUGUUAUCACGGGAGACACACGGCGGGUGCUAACGUCCGUCGUGAAGAGGGAAACAACCCAGACCGCCAGCUAAGGUCCCAAAGUCAUGGUUAAGUGGGAAACGAUGUGGGAAGGCCCAGACAGCCAGGAUGUUGGCUUAGAAGCAGCCAUCAUUUAAAGAAAGCGUAAUAGCUCACUGGUCGAGUCGGCCUGCGCGGAAGAUGUAACGGGGCUAAACCAUGCACCGAAGCUGCGGCAGCGACACUAUGUGUUGUUGGGUAGGGGAGCGUUCUGUAAGCCUGUGAAGGUGGCCUGUGAGGGUUGCUGGAGGUAUCAGAAGUGCGAAUGCUGACAUAAGUAACGAUAAAGCGGGUGAAAAGCCCGCUCGCCGGAAGACCAAGGGUUCCUGUCCAACGUUAAUCGGGGCAGGGUGAGUCGACCCCUAAGGCGAGGCCGAAAGGCGUAGUCGAUGGGAAACAGGUUAAUAUUCCUGUACUUGGUGUUACUGCGAAGGGGGGACGGAGAAGGCUAUGUUGGCCGGGCGACGGUUGUCCCGGUUUAAGCGUGUAGGCUGGUUUUCCAGGCAAAUCCGGAAAACCAAGGCUGAGGCGUGAUGACGAGGCACUACGGUGCUGAAGCGACAAAUGCCCUGCUUCCAGGAAAAGCCUCUAAGCAUCAGGUAACAUCAAAUCGUACCCCAAACCGACACAGGUGGUCAGGUAGAGAAUACCAAGGCGCUUGAGAGAACUCGGGUGAAGGAACUAGGCAAAAUGGUGCCGUAACUUCGGGAGAAGGCACGCUGAUAUGUAGGUGAAGCGACUUGCUCGUGGAGCUGAAAUCAGUCGAAGAUACCAGCUGGCUGCAACUGUUUAUUAAAAACACAGCACUGUGCAAACACGAAAGUGGACGUAUACGGUGUGACGCCUGCCCGGUGCCGGAAGGUUAAUUGAUGGGGUUAGCGGCAACGCGAAGCUCUUGAUCGAAGCCCCGGUAAACGGCGGCCGUAACUAUAACGGUCCUAAGGUAGCGAAAUUCCUUGUCGGGUAAGUUCCGACCUGCACGAAUGGCGUAAUGAUGGCCAGGCUGUCUCCACCCGAGACUCAGUGAAAUUGAACUCGCUGUGAAGAUGCAGUGUACCCGCGGCAAGACGGAAAGACCCCGUGAACCUUUACUAUAGCUUGACACUGAACAUUGAGCCUUGAUGUGUAGGAUAGGUGGGAGGCUUUGAAGUGUGGACGCCAGUCUGCAUGGAGCCGACCUUGAAAUACCACCCUUUAAUGUUUGAUGUUCUAACGUUGGCCCGUAAUCCGGGUUGCGGACAGUGUCUGGUGGGUAGUUUGACUGGGGCGGUCUCCUCCUAAAGAGUAACGGAGGAGCACGAAGGUUGGCUAAUCCUGGUCGGACAUCAGGAGGUUAGUGCAAUGGCAUAAGCCAGCUUGACUGCGAGCGUGACGGCGCGAGCAGGUGCGAAAGCAGGUCAUAGUGAUCCGGUGGUUCUGAAUGGAAGGGCCAUCGCUCAACGGAUAAAAGGUACUCCGGGGAUAACAGGCUGAUACCGCCCAAGAGUUCAUAUCGACGGCGGUGUUUGGCACCUCGAUGUCGGCUCAUCACAUCCUGGGGCUGAAGUAGGUCCCAAGGGUAUGGCUGUUCGCCAUUUAAAGUGGUACGCGAGCUGGGUUUAGAACGUCGUGAGACAGUUCGGUCCCUAUCUGCCGUGGGCGCUGGAGAACUGAGGGGGGCUGCUCCUAGUACGAGAGGACCGGAGUGGACGCAUCACUGGUGUUCGGGUUGUCAUGCCAAUGGCACUGCCCGGUAGCUAAAUGCGGAAGAGAUAAGUGCUGAAAGCAUCUAAGCACGAAACUUGC